GGGGCCAUCCCGGCUUACCAACCCGAUGCAAACUGCGAAUACCGGAGAAUGUUAUCACGGGAGACACACGGCGGGUGCUAACGUCCGUCGUGAAGAGGGAAACAACCCAGACCGCCAGCUAAGGUCCCAAAGUCAUGGUUAAGUGGGAAACGAUGUGGGAAGGCCCAGACAGCCAGGAUGUUGGCUUAGAAGCAGCCAUCAUUUAAAGAAAGCGUAAUAGCUCACUGGUCGAGUCGGCCUGCGCGGAAGAUGUAACGGGGCUAAACCAUGCACCGAAGCUGCGGCAGCGAACGUAUCACUUAAAGCGAUUCAGCGGGUUACGAUUGACGGAGCGAAGCGACGUCAAAGCGUAUACAAAGUCGAGUCGGUUUAAGGAUACGUUCGUUGGGUAGGGGAGCGUUCUGUAAGCCCGUGAAGGUGGCCUGUGAGGGUUGCUGGAGGUAUCAGAAGUGCGAAUGCUGACAUAAGUAACGAUAAAGCGGGUGAAAAGCCCGCUCGCCGGAAGACCAAGGGUUCCUGUCCAACGUUAAUCGGGGCAGGGUGAGUCGACCCCUAAGGCGAGGCCGAAAGGCGUAGUCGAUGGGAAACGGGUUAAUAUUCCCGUACUUGGUGUUACUGCGAAGGGGGGACGGAGAAGGCUAUGUUGGCCGGGCGACGGUUGUCCCGGUUUAAGCGUGUAGGUGUGUGUUCCAGGUAAAUCCGGUUCACUUUAACACUGAGGCGUGAUGACGAGGCACUACGGUGCUGAAGCAACAAAUGCCCUGCUUCCAGGAAAAGCCUCUAAGCAUCAGGUAACAUCAAAUCGUACCCCAAACCGACACAGGUGGUCAGGUAGAGAAUACCAAGGCGCUUGAGAGAACUCGGGUGAAGGAACUAGGCAAAAUGGUGCCGUAACUUCGGGAGAAGGCACGCUGACACGUAGGUGAAGUGAUUUACUCACGGAGCUGAAGUCAGUCGAAGAUACCAGCUGGCUGCAACUGUUUAUUAAAAACACAGCACUGUGCAAACACGAAAGUGGACGUAUACGGUGUGACGCCUGCCCGGUGCCGGAAGGUUAAUUGAUGGGGUCAGCGCAAGCGAAGCUCCUGAUCGAAGCCCCGGUAAACGGCGGCCGUAACUAUAACGGUCCUAAGGUAGCGAAAUUCCUUGUCGGGUAAGUUCCGACCUGCACGAAUGGCGUAAUGAUGGCCAGGCUGUCUCCACCCGAGACUCAG
RNAcentral lists this ribosomal RNA (1214 nucleotides) under Salmonella enterica subsp. enterica serovar Typhimurium. RNAcentral describes it as "bacterial LSU rRNA". It matches the Rfam family "Bacterial large subunit ribosomal RNA", at positions 923 to 2036 of the family's 2925-position model. The record is from RNAcentral. Lineage: Bacteria; Pseudomonadati; Pseudomonadota; Gammaproteobacteria; Enterobacterales; Enterobacteriaceae.